UUUUUUUUUAUAAUUUUGGCUAUUUAAUCAUUAAAGGUUUUAAGAAAAUAUUUUGUUGUAAUUUAAAUGAAAGUUUUUAAUGUUUAAUUUACUUUACUUGGAAAUUUAUAAAGAGUGUGUGUCUGUGUUUUUGUAACGUGACUGUUCUUUUUAUCCAACACAUGUUAAACUGUCAAAAUGGAUCACCAUAAUUAUCAGUCAGGUCAAGGUCAAUCAGUAUAGAUAUCCAAUCAUUUCAGGUCAACAUUUUCGUUUAAAGUUUGGUCAUAAGUUAGAGGUUAAAAGUUCAGGUCAACAUUGACAAGAAAAGAAUGGUCAUUACUCCUUUAUAGGGUAGAGGUCUACUAUAGAGUUAAGAUCAAACUAUUUGUAAGAAUGGUUAUAUAUAAGGUCAAAGAUAUGCAGUGUUAGGUCAAGGUCAAUGUUUACUUCUACAGAAUGAUUAUAUCUGUUAGCAGGAUCACAGAUAUGAUUAAUUGCUUAAAAGCAACAAGCACAUGUAAGAAGCAUAUUCCUGCUAAACAGCUUUAAAUAUGUGUACUUAUUUUCACAAAUAAGAACAAAAAUAGGUCCCUUCCCCAAGGGUUGACUGGGGUAUAGAAAUAUGGUCAUCCCUUGGUCUUCAUUUGACCGGCAGUAAAACGCUUGCCAAAGAUUAGCCACCGUUUAGUUAAUACAUAGCCACAUCCUGUUAAAAUUUAAAAUUAAAAAGUUGCAUCUAAUACCAGAGUAACUUUUAACCCGAAGUGUGACAGAGAAACAAACGAACAGACAGACAAAAGAACGGACCAACAAACGGACGAACAGGUAAGACCAGAAAAUUUUGAUGAAAAAUACAAAAUAUUUCCUUUGACUCCGUUAAAACAUUUAAAUUGUCACCACUUUAGAAAGAAAAUGAACAUUAAGUCCCCUACAUAAAUUUCAUAGUUUAAAUAAAGGGAAUUUUUUUCUGCAAUUUUCACUUCUGGAUGAAAGGAUAAAAUUACCACUUCUGUUUCAUUAUUCAUUGAGA
RNAcentral lists this long non-coding RNA (1012 nucleotides) under Mytilus galloprovincialis (Mediterranean mussel). The record is from RNAcentral. Lineage: Eukaryota; Metazoa; Mollusca; Bivalvia; Mytilida; Mytilidae.